This 76-nucleotide transfer RNA is filed under the name Candidatus Lloydbacteria bacterium RIFCSPLOWO2_01_FULL_50_20. RNAcentral describes it as "tRNA-Ala". It matches the Rfam family "tRNA". From Rfam's summary of the family: Transfer RNA (tRNA) molecules are approximately 80 nucleotides in length. The record is from RNAcentral. Lineage: Bacteria; Candidatus Lloydiibacteriota.
GGGCCUGUAGCUCAUUCGGUAGAGCGCGUGCAUGGCAUGCACGAGGCAAGGGGUUCGAUCCCCCUCAGGUCCACCA